ACCACGAGAAUGAGGUUGGUGA
This 22-nucleotide non-coding RNA is filed under the name Arabidopsis thaliana (thale cress). Lineage: Eukaryota; Viridiplantae; Streptophyta; Magnoliopsida; Brassicales; Brassicaceae. The record is from RNAcentral.